GUGCGUGUGGUGUAAAGGCAGCACACGGCCCUGUGAAGGCUUCGGUGGUGGGUUCAAGUCCCCCCACGCACC
RNAcentral lists this transfer RNA (72 nucleotides) under Planctomycetia bacterium. Its description in RNAcentral is "tRNA-His". It matches the Rfam family "tRNA". From Rfam's summary of the family: Transfer RNA (tRNA) molecules are approximately 80 nucleotides in length. Their secondary structure includes four short double-helical elements and three loops (D, anti-codon, and T loops). The record is from RNAcentral. Lineage: Bacteria; Pseudomonadati; Planctomycetota; Planctomycetia.